CGUUGUCGGUGGUCUUGGUGGCGACUUGGAGUUCUUGCUUGUAUUCUUGGCCAAUGAUGGUAACUCAUUUGGAGACGUAGCACUAGGUUCAUCGCCAUUGCUCUUCUGCAAGGUUGGUUCGAGAAAUCACAGCUAGUUUAGUUGAUCAAGAUGUUUCUUCCUGAAGAUCUGGGCAGUCCAUUACAAAGCUAUAGCCUAUGGGGACGAGAGCUUUUUAUGAACUGUUAGGUUGGUAACGAUAGUGUGUGAUGGGAGUUUGAAUUUGAGCAUAAAUACUUUGAGGGUUGGAGAGUGAUAAAGUCGUCAGGUUUUUUACAAGCUAGAUACCCUUUGAAGAAAGAGUGGAAUUUGUGGGAUGCAGAUAUGCUAAGCAAUAAAGAAUAUUGGCAGGGCAGGGGCAAGGCAAGAAGGAACAACAAAUGCAACUAGCAUCAUUGUCCAACAUGGCAAGUUCUAUUUUGCUUGUGGAGGUGAAAGUGGUUGCUUCUAGCUAGUAAUUACUUGUGCGUCCACUUUUGGAAUCAUUUUACUGAUUCGAUGGCUUGUUUUGAAGGAAAAAUAAUCUACCUCACUGUUGUUGUUUGUAAA
Long non-coding RNA from Populus trichocarpa (black cottonwood), 588 nucleotides. RefSeq lists it as uncharacterized. The transcript is spliced from 2 exons. The record is from RefSeq and is a predicted model, not a curated record. Lineage: Eukaryota; Viridiplantae; Streptophyta; Magnoliopsida; Malpighiales; Salicaceae.